GACGAACGCUGGCGGCGUGCUUAACACAUGCAAGUCGAACGGAAAGGCCCUGCUUUUGUGGGGUGCUCGAGUGGCGAACGGGUGAGUAACACGUGAGUAACCUGCCCUUGACUUUGGGAUAACUUCAGGAAACUGGGGCUAAUACCGGAUAGGAGCUCCUGCUGCAUGGUGGGGGUUGGAAAGUUUCGGCGGUUGGGGAUGGACUCGCGGCUUAUCAGCUUGUUGGUGGGGUAGUGGCUUACCAAGGCUUUGACGGGUAGCCGGCCUGAGAGGGUGACCGGCCACAUUGGGACUGAGAUACGACCCAGACUCCUACUGGAGGCAGCAGUGACGAAUAUUCCACAAUGGGCGGAAGCCUGAUGCAGCAACGCCGCGUGCGGGAUGACGGCCUUCGGGUUGUAAACCGCUUUCGCCUGUGACGAAGCGUGAGUGACGGUAAUGGGUAAAGAAGCACCGGCUAACUACGUG
RNAcentral lists this ribosomal RNA (468 nucleotides) under uncultured bacterium. Its description in RNAcentral is "partial 16S ribosomal RNA". It matches the Rfam family "Bacterial small subunit ribosomal RNA", at positions 28 to 507 of the family's 1533-position model. The record is from RNAcentral.